RNAcentral lists this ribosomal RNA (253 nucleotides) under uncultured bacterium. RNAcentral's name for it is "partial 16S ribosomal RNA". It matches the Rfam family "Bacterial small subunit ribosomal RNA", at positions 524 to 776 of the family's 1533-position model. The record is from RNAcentral.
GACAGAGGGUGCAAACGUUGUUCGGAAUUACUGGGCGUAAAGCGUGUGUAGGCGGUCUUGUAAGUCGGGUGUGAAAGCCCAGGGCUCAACCCUGGAAGUGCACUCGAAACUGCAAGGCUAGAGUACCGGAGAGGUUGGUGGAAUUCUCGGUGUAGAGGUGAAAUUCGUAGAUAUCGAGAGGAACACCGGCGGCGAAGGCGGCCAACUGGACGAGUACUGACGCUGAGACACGAAAGCGUGGGGAGCAAACAGG